This 247-nucleotide ribosomal RNA is filed under the name uncultured Eubacteriales bacterium. RNAcentral describes it as "uncultured Clostridiales bacterium partial 16S ribosomal RNA". It matches the Rfam family "Bacterial small subunit ribosomal RNA", at positions 94 to 339 of the family's 1533-position model. The record is from RNAcentral. Lineage: Bacteria; Bacillati; Bacillota; Clostridia; Eubacteriales.
AGUGGCGAACGGGUGAGUAACACGUGAGCAACCUGCCUUUCAGUGGGGGACAACAUUUGGAAACGAAUGCUAAUACCGCAUAAGACCACAGUGUCGCAUGGCACAGGGGUCAAAGGAUUUAUCCGCUGAAAGAUGGGCUCGCGUCCGAUUAGCUAGAUGGUGAGGUAACGGCCCACCAUGGCGACGAUCGGUAGCCGGACUGAGAGGUUGAACGGCCACAUUGGGACUGAGACACGGCCCAGACUCC